Molecule: ribosomal RNA, 475 nt
Filed under: uncultured organism
Description: partial 16S ribosomal RNA
Rfam family: Bacterial small subunit ribosomal RNA
Source: RNAcentral
ACUCCUGCGGGAGGCAGCAGUGGGGAAUUUUGGACAAUGGGCGAAAGCCUGAUCCAGCAAUGCCGCGUGCAGGAUGAAGGCCUUCGGGUUGUAAACUGCUUUUGUACGGAACGAAAAAGCUCCUUCUAAUACAGGGGGCCCAUGACGGUACCGUAAGAAUAAGCACCGGCUAACUACGUGCCAGCAGCCGCGGUAAUACGUAGGGUGCGAGCGUUAAUCGGAAUUACUGGGCGUAAAGCGUGCGCAGGCGGUUAUGUAAGACAGAUGUGAAAUCCCCGGGCUCAACCUGGGAACUGCAUUUGUGACUGCAUGGCUAGAGUACGGUAGAGGGGGAUGGAAUUCCGCGUGUAGCAGUGAAAUGCGUAGAUAUGCGGAGGAACACCGAUGGCGAAGGCAAUCCCCUGGACCUGUACUGACGCUCAUGCACGAAAGCGUGGGGAGCAAACAGGAUUAGAAACCCGAGUAGGCCCAUGAU